CCACAAAAUGGUGCUAACUAAUAUAGAUAAACUCCGAAUAUCAUAUAUCUAUUGGAACUCAUGCAACUUUAUAGGCUAAGAGUGUAGUUUUGCGCCAAACUAUAUAUAUAUUUUCAUCAUUGACUUCUCAAAUUUUUAUUUCAUAUGAGCAUAUUCGCACAUAAAUUUCUACUAACAACGUGACAAACUUAUGAAAACUUAUGAUAAAAGAAAGUUAAACAACCAUGAUCAACAUUAUUAUAUAUUCAUGCACGAUUCAUGCAUAUUAAUGUAUUGGGUGAUUGCUGGUUUUGUUUUCGACCCGGUUGUGGGGUUUAGGAAGUCUCAGUAUCCAAAACCAAAACUGAUAUAGUAUAAAUUUUAUCCGCGUAUCAUAAGUUAGAUAUAAUUAAAAUUUUAAACUCAUAUUACCUUAUUUUCUUAGGAUGCUAAUAAAUUAUAACAAAAUGUGGAAUAUAUAGUUAUAUACUAGCUAGCUAGGAUUAUAAUUACUUUGAUAUAUGGGUUGAGGGUUUAUGGCUUAGCGUUUAGGGUUCUUAAUUGCUGUAAUAGCUUUAUAUAUAUUUCAAACUAAAAUUUAAAUAAAAAUAUAUCAAUCUGCAAUUAAUAUAUAUAUCAAUCUCCUCUCUUCUAUGGAACAAAUUAAUUCUACUGAUAGAUCUUAAGAUAUCUUUUUAAUUUGAAGGUGAAUUAAAAAAAAAAAAAACUUUUCCUUGGAGUCUUGAUCAUUUGAGUUCUCUGAGUGUAUACGUUGAAGCACUGGAUAUUUACUAAAUGUUAGAACUAUAAACUCGCAAAAUUCAAAAAAUUCAACCACAUUAAUCUAGCUUUCUUAGUUUAGUUUAUGGGCAUUUUAACUCAUGUAGUAGCUUAGAGAAUUGUACUGAGUAGGCUAAAUUAAGUUUAAAAUUCUCAUUGUGUUUCCUUUGGUGGAACUGAUACUUGUGAACAAUAUUAAUUAAGAAGUUACAAUUUAUAUGAUUAAUUAAUUACAAGGAAUAAGCAUGUAAAUAGGAAAUAACUUAUUAAUACUUAUAUUUCAGUGCCUAAUAUAUUUUGGGCUCCCAAUAUUCAAAGUGGCAAUAGAUAGCUUGGUAUUUCAUUAAUUUGUUAUUUAUCUUCGCAUAUUGCUUCCAUAAGUAUUUCAGUAUUAGUCAACUGAAUCUGAUGUAAUUACUAUAUUUAACAAAAUAAGAAAAAGAAAGACCUGGACUCAUCUGACCUCUAGUUUGAUUUUAAAAGUGCCAUUUUAAACUUUGAAACUUUUUAUAAUUUUCAAUUACAUGUUAAAUCACUUUCAUGUGCAAUGAAUAGCAUUAUUUAAUAUUUUCAAAUAGUCCUAUAUAUAUAGUUCAAUUAAUGUUCAAGAUAUUAUAUGCAUGCAAUACGACUAAAAUUCAGAUGUUAGCAUCCUUAUGUUACGUGACGUUUGGUAUUGAAGACCAUCUAAAGCUAUUACGUAAAACAGAGUUGGCGCAAAUUGUAUAUAGCAAUGUGAACCAUAACCGACCGUCCCUAGAACAAGUGGCAAAGGACUUGGUGGUUGAUACCCGAGACCUAAGUUUGAAUCCUAGUUAAUUCACAUUUUUAGCUAAGUUUAUUUCUAAAUAAAAUAAAUGAAGCGGAUAGCAUGCUACCUUUCUCUCUCUCUCAAAAAAAAAAGCAAUGUGAACCAUAUAAAAUAUAUGGUAAUUAACCGACUCAUGGAAAUUAAACACGCACAAUGUACGUACAUUAUAUUAAGUACGAAAACAAACGAAAUAUUUUUUUUUCAUCAUACUUAUGCACCGGAUGUAACGCAAUCUCCUCACAUGCAUUCCCAAAAGAAGUCAAAGAGAACUAGAGUCGAAAGUCGAGUCAACUUUAACUUGUCUCAACCUAAUUCAAAAUGGACUCAAACUCGGAGGUUGCACCCAUUUGGGCCCAAUUUGGAAAUAAAAUGAAUUGGGCCUAAUAACCCUUUUAUUAUUUGGGCUAGGCUUUAACGAUUAUACUUGGUGGGCUGGGCCUCCAUAGACUUGGUCCACCGCAUCAUUUACAGGUCACGUGGCUUCUAAAUCUCUUUCUGCUUUGUUAUUGGCUGGUGCAAUAGACCAGGUCCACGUAAUUACAAGGUAGUUUUCCCGCCAUCCACAACCUCGGAAGCUUCGGGAGAUUCGAAAUAAACUUAUAAUGGUCCCGGACUCCCGGAACUCUCUCGAAUAACCCCGACUCCCCUGUUGCGCGACGAAGCCCCUAGAAGCUCCCGGAGCCCCAUUCCCCUUCCCCGCGCGCGUCCGCUAUAAAUACUCGCCCACUCUUCGUCUCCCUCCUCGCUUGCGUUCUCGAAACCCUAAUCACGCUCUCUCUACGCUCUCGCGUGCGAUUCCCGAUUCUCGUCUUCUGAUUCCUCUGUGAGAUCGCGCGAUCGUUCGUGCUCCAACAAUGGCGGAUGUGGCGAUGGGGGAGACGGAGACGUUCGCUUUCCAGGCGGAGAUCAACCAGCUCCUCAGCCUCAUCAUCAACACCUUCUACUCCAACAAGGAGAUCUUCCUCCGCGAGCUCAUCAGCAACGCAUCUGAUGUGAGUGUUUUUUGAUCGAUUUUUUGUUGGGGGGGGAUUUUUAAGUGGUUUUUGAUGAGAAUUUGGAUCGGGGGAUCUGGAUUCGGGGGGUGCUGAUGCAUGCUUGCGUGUCGUUUGUAGGCGUUGGAUAAGAUCCGAUUCGAGAGCCUCACUGAUAAGAGCAAGCUCGAUGCGCAACCGGAGUUGUUCAUCAGAAUCGUACCGGAUAAGGUGAACAAGACACUAUCAGUGAUCGAUAGCGGCAUCGGCAUGACCAAGGCUGGUAAGAUAGAUCAAUCACGCUCUCUCUCUGUUUCUUUUCCUACUAGUUUGGAUCAUGCUUCUAUCGUUCGAUUUGGGAGAUAUGAUUGCUAUGAAGCUGGCAUUGUCCGAUUUGAUGAUCUUAGUUGAAAAUUUAUGUGAUUAGUUUUUGUGAUUGGUUUUUGUUUCUAGUUGCAAUUUUGUUGUUCAUCUGACGCAAUUAGAUGAGCAUGUGUUGAUUAUAUACAUUCUGUAAUAUCUCAUCUCUGUAUCAUGUUGCUACAUCUGAAUUCUGCUUGUUUAUUCUCCUUGAAGAUUAAAAAGAAAAGUUUAAUGAAUCUGUUAUACUGAACAAGAAUCUUACAGAUAAAUUGAGUGCAAUCUAGAACUAUUUGAUGUUAAGAAGCACAAUAUGGUGGUACAGAAUUAAGGAACUUAUUGGAAACAUUAGAAAGGCAGCUUUUACUCGACUCUGAUUGUGUGAAUAAUGAAUCGAUCUGUAGGGGAGGGAAUGACAUAUCUUUGCUGGUUAUCUAGAAUGAGAUUGAGAUUUAUUGUACACUUCCUGAUGCUGAUUUUUUCCCUUUUGUCUUCAGAUCUUGUGAACAAUUUGGGUACCAUUGCAAGAUCCGGCACCAAGGAGUUCAUGGAGGCACUCCAGGCUGGGGCUGAUGUGAGCAUGAUUGGCCAGUUUGGUGUCGGUUUCUAUUCUGCGUACUUGGUUGCCGAGAAGGUCAUCGUGACCACAAAGCACAAUGAUGAUGAGCAAUACAUCUGGGAGUCCCAGGCUGGUGGUUCCUUCACUGUUACUAGAGACACCUCUGGCGAGCAGCUUGGCAGGGGAACCAAGAUCACCCUCUACCUCAAGGAAGAUCAGGUAAGGUCAUUUUGAUAAAUCGUUUCUUUUCAUGUGUGCAUUCAAUUAAGACAUUUAAUUUUAGGCGCAGAGCUCUACGAGUUUGAAUUUUGACAUGUAGCCCUUUGAAAUUGCAUAAAAUUGUCUGUAGUGUAUGUAUCCAUGAAAAUUCAAUUUUUGCUAGGUUUCAUGCAGAAGGGUUUGUCUAAACAUGCUGCAUAUUCUGAAACUCUCUUUCCCUUAAAACUUCGAUUUCAUAUAUGCCUUGUGAGUAUAUUUAAAAUUUCUGUAAAUGCCUGCUAAAACUUGAAAGCCAAUGAUAUGCUGGAUGCUCCUGUUUUACAUGCAUUUUCAUAUUAUGAACUGUGUUUCAGACGUUUCGAUAUUUGUAGGUAACUGUUGUUUAACAAGAAAAAACUUGAAUUAAUUAUUGGUGAAUUAUGUGGAAUGGAGUAUUAUGUUUCGUUCAUAUAUAUUAACAAAACUAAAAUUUUAUUAGAAGCUAUACUCUUUAAUAACUAUUAAUGAAAGUUUAGAGAAAGGAAGUGCUAGUGGUGAUCUGAAUUGUGUGCAGCUGGAAUAUUUGGAGGAGAGGAGGUUGAAGGAUCUUGUAAAGAAGCACUCUGAAUUCAUCAGCUACCCAAUCUAUCUCUGGACUGAGAAGACUACUGAAAAGGAAAUUAGCGAUGAUGAAGAUGAGGAAGGAUCCAAGAAGAAGGAAGAAGAGGGAGAUGUAGAAGAGGUCGAUGAGGAGAAAGAGACUAAAUCCAAGAAGAAGAAGGUCAAGGAAGUCACCCACGAGUGGCAACUCAUCAACAAGCAGAAGCCCAUCUGGCUUCGGAAGCCUGAAGAAAUCACCAAGGAAGAGUAUGCUUCCUUCUACAAGAGCUUGACCAAUGACUGGGAGGAUCACUUGGCCGUGAAACACUUCUCGGUCGAGGGCCAGCUUGAGUUUAAAGCCAUUCUUUUCGUCCCGAGAAGGGCUCCUUUCGACCUUUUCGACACGAGGAAGAAGCUUAACAACAUUAAGCUCUACGUUCGGAGAGUCUUCAUCAUGGACAACUGCGAGGAGCUUAUGCCUGAGUAUCUUGGAUUUGUGAAGGGAGUGGUUGAUUCUGAUGAUCUGCCGCUUAACAUUUCCCGUGAAAUGCUCCAACAGAACAAGAUCCUCAAAGUGAUGAGGAAGAACCUCGUGAAGAAGUGCAUCGAGAUGUUCUUCGAGAUCGCAGAGAAUAAAGAGGACUACAACAAAUUCUAUGAAGCCUUCUCGAAGAACUUGAAAUUGGGUAUUCAUGAGGAUAGCCAGAACAGGGCGAAAUUGGCUGAUCUCCUCAGAUACUACUCAACAAAGAGCGGCGACGAAAUGACGAGCCUCAAAGACUAUGUGACCAGAAUGAAAGAAGGGCAAAAGGAUAUCUACUACAUCACAGGAGAGAGCAAGAAGGCGGUAGAGAACUCCCCCUUCCUCGAAAGGCUAAAGAAGAAGGGAUAUGAGGUUCUCUUCAUGGUGGACGCAAUCGAUGAAUAUGCUGUUGGGCAGCUGAAGGAGUACGAUGGGAAGAAGCUCGUUUCGGCAACCAAGGAAGGGCUUAAGCUCGAGGAGACAGAAGAGGAGAAGAAGAAAAGGGAAGAGAAAAAAGCUGCUUUCGAGAGCUUAUGCAAGACCAUGAAGGAAAUUUUGGGGGAUAAGGUCGAAAAGGUGGUGGUUUCUGAUAGAAUUGUGGAUUCUCCUUGUUGUUUAGUCACCGGAGAGUACGGAUGGACAGCUAACAUGGAAAGGAUCAUGAAGGCCCAAGCUUUGAGGGACAGUAGCAUGAGCUCUUACAUGUCGAGCAAGAAAACUAUGGAAAUCAACCCCGAGAAUGGUAUCAUGGAGGAGUUGAGGAAGCGGGCAGAGGCCGACAAGAAUGACAAGUCUGUGAAGGAUUUGGUGAUGCUCUUAUACGAGACGGCAUUACUGACUUCGGGGUUUAGUUUGGACGACCCAAACACAUUCGCUGGGAGGAUUCACAGGAUGUUGAAAUUAGGGUUGAACAUUGAUGAGGAUGGGGCUGGCGACGAGGAUGCCGACAUGCCGCCAUUGGAGGACGACGGCAACGAGGAGAGCAAGAUGGAGGAGGUUGAUUGAAAUGACAAUUAUGCUCGUUUGCAAAUACAAGUGUCUUUCUUGUCUCUUCUCUUUCGGUCCAUUUGUGUCUCUCUCUCUCUCAUCUUGUAGUUGCUGUGUGGGGAGGUUAACAUAUCUCUUACUUUGUAUGUAGUGUCUUGGUCGUGUUAUAUGAGCAACUGCAGCAAAACUGUUAGUCCUGUUACGAAGCGUGCGUAGUGUGUCGUACUUUUGUGUUACUAUACUUAGUGUUAUAAUGGAACAAGAACAUUCUGUGUUCUAAGUCAGUAUUCUUUUUGUGUUUUUUUCUCCUCCAAUUUUAGUUAAAAUUUGCUGUUGAUUGCAUUUUGAGUCUUUUCACAUGGUCUUGGAAGUGUUUAGGCAAGUCAUUCAGUUUCAUUGCUCUUGGGAGAAAAAGGGAAAAGGUGAAAAAAAAAAAAAAUGUUUCUCUAUUUUUCUAAUUGAAUAGAAGAAGCUCUUUUAUGCUAAGAAAUUACAUUCUACAAACAACAAAUGAUAUGACCAAAUUUAUUUAGAUUCUAAAGAGUGAAAUUUAUUUAAUAGGAUGAUGAUACAAUUUUAAAAUUGUUAGAAUUAUUGACAAUUUAUUAACAGUUUCAUGUAUUUGAGAAACUUAUUAUCUCCACCAGGCGUACCUGAAACCACGAACAAACGCGCACUCGCAUAGUUAAUGGAUUAUAAAUUUUGAUUUGUGAGAUUUUUUUUAUCACGUAGGGCUAGGUGCAUGGUGUAGAGGGCAUAUUCCUCUACACAUACACCCUAAGCAAUCCUCAUUUUCACAAGCCCAUCUCGUUUGUUCGAGCGCCAAUUUUUAUGCUCCAAAACAAUAUGCUUCGUCUCCCUCCAUCGCCAUGUCGUCGUCCCCAGACCCCACCAUCCUCCACUCCGAAACCCUAACCCUACCUCCUCCCCCGUUCAUGGCGGACGACGCCACCUCCACCACCGCCACCAUCUCGUGGCCGGAGAAGGAGAAGACGACGGCGACGACGGCGACGGAGGAGAAGAAGAGGGAUCGUCUCGCGGAGCUCCCGGAGCAUCUCCUGCUCCGCAUCGUCUCCUUCCUCCCCACCCACGUCGCCGUGCGCCUCUCCCUCCUCGCCCGUCGCUUCCGCGGCCUCUGGGCCUCCUCCCCUUCCCUCUACCUCGAUCGCUCCUCCCUCCGCCGCACCCCCCGCUUCGUCCUCCUCGCCGAUCGCUUCCUCUCCCUCCGCGACCGCUCUGCGCCGCUCCGGCGCCUCCGCCUCUGCUCCGACUACUCCGCGCGCCACCUCCUCGACCCCCUCGACCCGAUCUCCUGGCUCGUCCGCUCCCGCCCCCUCGGCCUCCGCCACCUCCACCUCGACCUCCACCACGAAACCCUAAUCUAUCUCCUCCCAUUCAUCCUCGACUUCGAAACCCUAGAGUCCCUCUCCCUCUCCACCUUCUCCAACCCCUAUGGCGACAAGGGCAUCGUUCUCCCCGACACUAUCCGGCUAGAUCGCCUAAGAAGGCUCAGCCUUUACCUCCUGCUUGAGCCCCUCUCCCUCUCGCGGCUCGUCGCCAGCGCCCCGGUGCUUGAGGAUCUCAAUCUGAGGGACGUGAGGGCGAAGCAGGUGGAUCUGAAUGCUCCCAAUCUUAAAAGGUUGAAUCUUAAUUCGCAUUGGCUCCUUGAGGUGCGAUUGUGGUGUCCUAAGCUCGAGCUCCUGCGAUGCAGCCUCUCGGGGCCGUUGGCGAAGUAUGAGGGGUUCAUGCCCUCGCUCCGGAGGGCGCGUGUCACAUUGUCGGAUCUUACGGCCGAGGAUGCUGCUGCUGUAGGAUGUGUGAUUCAGAGUGUUGCCAAUGUGUCUGAGCUUAAAAUUCGCGUCUCCGCUUGUUGGGUAAUCUUCGGACGCUUACAUUAUCUUGUGAUUUUCAUCCCAGAAGUAGUGAGAAAUAUUCCAAAAGAAAACAUCUGUUCUAGGCAUAAUCUCGACUGUGUUUAGCAAGUGAGGAUAGCUCCUGAAUAAUGACUUUAGUGCCCAACCAUGAAGUGGGGAUAUCUAACGCUACCCACAAAGUUCAUUUGGUUCAUUGACAAUUUCUAGGGGAGCAACGUUUCUAUUCUCGAGUCAUAUCACUAUUUAAGAAACAAUAUCAGUUUUGUGUUUGGUUUUUCAUAAUAGGGACAGCUUUUUUAAUUGUAGGAGUAACUAAAGUAGGCGAUAACUCGAUUCUCGAGUUGGAUUUAGUAGUUGUUUAGUGUUUCCUUGGAGGAUAGAGUGAGAACAGUGGUAUCCUAUUUUUCCUUUAAUUUUAUAGCUCCUUUAGAUGCUGAUUAUUCUUCCCAAGAGUAGGAAUUCCACUCAAGAUUUAUGGCCCAGAAUGUUAGUGAGAAGAGCCACCCAUGAAUCGUUGUAAUCAUUCUGUAUUUCCGGCUGCUAAUAAACGGCUGAAUGCAUACUUUUUCCAGCUUCCUGGAGGUUUCGAUAGUACUUCUAAUGAUUGAGCCAAAUUUCAUGCAUGGUUGUUUACUGAAAUAAGGAAGUUGAUUUAUAGGCUAAGAAUCUGUUGCAGUAAUCUUGUGGUUUAGUAGACAUUCUUUCCAUAAUGUCUGUUAGUAGUCUCUUGAUUGAGAGAUUUGCCUUGGUACAGAACCCUUAUUUCUUAUGCAAAUUUUAGCUCUGUGAGAUGUUAUUUGAAAAUAUUUUGUUUUUGUUUGUUCUCUGGGCAUCGGGAGAUUAGCUAUCUUGAUGUGAACUUUAAGACAGCGUAAGUCGAAGUCUGCAUCUUCCCUGUCCGUUUGAUACUAAAAUCCUGUAAUAUAUGUUAGUCCAAUGUAUUAUAUCUUAUUCUCACUUAUUUCAAAAUGUUGCGGAGUAGAAGAACAACAUAACAAACAAAAGAAUUGAAAGAUGACUAGCUCUAGAUCAAUUUGAUGAGACUUUGUGAAAUAUAGCUCUAGAGCAAUAGAUGGCUUGCAUUUGUAUUCUCUUGAUUUGCUUUGACAACUUCGUUGUUCUUUAGUUGGUGUUUUGGCCUAACGCCUUGAUAAGCUAUCAUUUGAUGGUAUCAUGCGUUUGGCAUGAUAUAUUGUUUUUUCUGUCUAAGCUCUGUAAUUUUUUUUUUUUCCUUUGGUUGUGUAGAUUGUGUAAAGCGAGUUUGGCUGUCAUGCCCUGUGUCUAUCCUAUAGAGGAAAUAGGUACAUCAGGUGUAAGCCACCUACUCAUAAAUUCUUCACAGGGCACACAAUAAUGUUUAAAUUGAAAAUUUCCAACGUCUCAAAUAAACAAUAGUAGUUUAGCACAUCCUGCUUAUGUUUACUAUUAUUAUUAAUAUUAUUGUUAUUUAAAAUUUUCAUGUAUUUCUAUCUGCAUGUUUCAUUGGUGAAAGGAUGCCUCUAAUUGUGUAUAAUCUUUUGCAUGAAAACAUUUAGAGACAGUUACUUCCGGUUCGCCUCUUGGUAGACGAAGAAAGGAGCCUUCCGACUUUUCCUAAUCUGAGAAGUUUGUUUGUCUACACAUCCUUUCAUGAGAUAAAUAUCAGAGACAUGAUUACUUUGCUUGAUCAUUCGCCGGUUCUCGAUUCUCUCGACUUGUGCCACUCGGUAAUGGCACUUAAACUUCAAUCCUUCUCUUGUAGAAUAUUGAGUUUCUACAUUAUGUGCCUUGUUGUUUGGCCCCGGCUCUGGAACUGCUGUAUUCAAGAAGGUAGAAGUUUGUGAUGUUUGGCUGACGGAUAGUCCAGAGCCGUUGCUGUUACAAGAAGCUAAGAUGAGCUUUUGGAGCCCAAAGAGCAGAAACUCCGGUACGAAGUUUCUGCUUCUGCUGGGAGAAAGCUGUGAAGGACAAUUUUCAAGAAAAAGCUAUCGGUGCUCUUUUGAGACAGCAGUUUUGCAGAAGCGCUCCGUGUAGGCCGCAAUGCUUUCAAACUAAUUUUUACUCUCUUGUCUUUCAGUCUCCGUAUAUCAAUGAUAAGAAGAAGAAGGCAAAAGACUGGCAAUCGAAGCUGCCUCGAAAUUCUUCUGGCAAUUAUCAAACUGCAUGCUUCACCGAUCUUCGAGUAAAGAAGAGGAGGACUGAGGCUGUGAAGCUGCUGUCGAAGAGAUUGAAGAUAAAAGAGUAACCGUAAAUCCGUAAAUGCUAUAAUAACAGAGAGCUUUUGUGAAUCCGCUCAACCUCUUUUUGUGAUGUUUUCGAGUUUCUUGCGACUCGUUUUGCUGCAUAUUAUCUAAUUUAUCUCUACAUUAGUGUUUUUUCUUGAGUAUCUUUUUGAUUGCUCAAUGAGCCAAAGGACUUUCGGAACUCAUUAAUCGGAUUAUUGGUUUUGUGUGCCUCUAGCCUGUUUGGAUUCUUCGAUAUAGCAGCAAGUACACCACUUCAUGAGAUCUUUUUGUGUUGUAAAUGUUUCAGGUUGUGCAGUAGAUUGGGCGCGACCACAAAAGAGCACAAUUUUCUGGGUAAGGUUUCUUGUACUCUAAUCUAUCUAAUGAGGUUCCUUUCUCAGGCUAUUAUUCAGCACCUAGCUUUUGUCUCUUAUUAUUUGUAGUAUAAUACUAGUAAUUUCUUUUUUCUAGGCUUGGAUUGGAAUUGAACAUUGAGCAUGCAAAAAUCAUGACUCUGGUAGAAAUUUCACCUCUCUCUCCUUGUUUUUUGCUUCUUCUUUUGUUUGUCCCUACAGUAGAAUAUGACUCCAUCAAUUGCAGCAAUACUGUCAUAUUUCUUAGUUGUUAUUAGCACUUCAACCAUUCCAAUAACAUCAUUGCCAUAUGAGUGAUACACUAUUGGAUUAGUUGGUUAAGUUAAUUAGAUUAGAUUGUUGAAUUUGAUUGCAGCAAUUUAAAAAAUUUGGGCUAAAAAAUUCGUAAUAAUAAAUAAAAUUAGAGUACUAAAAAUUGAGGACAGACAGAACACCUUGUACAAUUUAGCCAGCAAUAAAAAUAAAUAAAACACAUUACUGCAGUGGAUGAUGAUAAGCAAGGAAGCAUCUGUCGUUCCCAUUACCAACAUAAUAAUAAUAAUAGUAAAUAGUAAAUAGUAAAUAGUAAAUAAACAAACACGUAAUGAUGAGUCCAUUCGAGCGUGGUGCGGAGGAGGGGUGAUGGGGGGGAAGGGGGCUAGUGGGUGAAGGCGUAGAAGACGGUGGAGACGUAGACGGCGAGGGCGACGGAGACGAGGGCGAUGAGGGCGGCGGCGGAGCGGACGGCGGGGGGGGCGCCGCAGGAGAGGAGGCCGAGGCGGAUCUGGAUGACGUCGACCAUGGAGAGGAGGAGGAAGACGCAGCCGAGGACGGAGCCGCCGGCGGAGGCGAGCAUCCCGAGGCGGAGCAGGCGGGCGUCGAUGCGCGCGCGGAAGGCGUCGUGGGGGUCGUUGGCGUUGAUGAGGUUCAGCGCCAGCUUCAGCCCCUGCGCCACCAGGCUCGAGAACAGGAAGAAGCUGAACGACACCACCUCGAACGCCAGCAGGUUCCGCGCCACGUCCGCACCCGCGCUGCACCCUCCCCCUUGCCCUGGGCUCGGCGGCCCCGUCAGGGACAGCCCCACGAACACCGCCACCGUGAACAGCGAGUUCACGUUCACCACCCCGUCCAGCGCCGUCACGUGGAUGCUCGUCGUCGUCGUCGUCGUCGCCAUGGACCCGGAGUGCUCGGGGGGCUUGGGGGAGCUGUGGUCCUCGUCCUCCAUGCGUGUACUAGUAGUAGUGCAUGAUCUCUCGAUCGAUCGAUCGAGAGAGAUUUGGGGAAAGUGAUGGAUUAAGAGAGAGAGAGAGAGAGAGAGAGAGAGAGAGUCUGGAGAGAUUUGGGGGAGGAGACGCGUGACGAAGGGGGGAGAAAUUAAUUAAUUAUUAAUUAGGGUCGUACAGCUCUCCGUAAAUAUAGUAAAUUACAGAUAUAUAUUUCUUUAAAGUUGAACUUUUAUAAAUUAUUUUUGUAAAAAUUUUAAUAUUUUUAGAUAUGUCCAUGUCCUUAGAAUUCAUUAGAAAAAUUUAGUUAACCAUAGGUUAAAUAUUUUAUUUGAAUUAAUUUUUAAUAUUUUUAUCCCUCUUGUGUUAUACUGUUAUAAUUUUUAGAGGGACAUAUUUGUGAUGGUAAAAUUGAAAAAAUAAGCAGUUUUCUAACAGUUCUCUAAUGGUAACAAAUUAGAAAGAUAUAACUGAAAAUAUUAGGAUUUUUGUAAAAAUAAUUUAUAAAUAUUGAAUUUUAUAGAAAUAUAUCUGUAAGUCAUUAUGUUUGCAAGAAUUUGUAUGCAAUUAACCCUAUUAAGUAAAAAAAAAAGAAAAAAAAAAAAGAAUGGGAUUGGAGAGGGUAAAAGUGGGAAGGGGUGAUGAUAUGAUAGGCUAAGAGCUUGCUUGAGCUUGAUGGAUAAAAAAAAAUAGAGUUAAGACCAGCCCCCAACUAUUAAGGAAAUUAGAAACUCAUCCUUUUGAGUAGCUUAGCUUUCCAUUUAGGAAAUUUGGAAGGUCCCUGUGGGGCCGUUUCAAAAUUCACUAUAGUUGAGGGGGUCUCCCUCUCUACAUUUUUUUUGUCUUAGGAAUCAAAUUAAAUCAUGUGAAUUUGGGACGCGUCGUAGUUUAGGUGAGAAAGUCACGGAUAGAUGUGGACGCGGGCGGUGGGUUAGGGAUGACCUCUUUAGUAGGAAAUUAAUUAAAUUAAUUUAUACUUUAUUUUACGUAGUAACCCAUAAUAAUAAUAAUAAUAAUAAUAAUAAUAGCUUAUAUAAGGUGAGAACGACAUGAAAGACAAAACAAAUAUAAUUUCUUAUCGGGUAAGGCUCCGUUUGGGAUAGUAUGGAAAUUGUAUCAUACACAAUUUAAAAAAAUGUAUAAAAUAAUAAUUAAUUUAUUUUUAUAAAACAAGAUUAUAUUGUCGGUACCUAAGAUAUAUGUUUUAUGGUCAUACAAAAAAAAAACAAAAAAAAAACGGAGAAGUAAAAUUCUGAAUAUUUUUAUUCCAAUUUCGUUUUAUUUUAUAGUGUUGGGUGUAACUUGUCACAGAACAGUUGGAUCAUGUAGUUGGGAACAAAUUGUAUGCGAACAACUUUGCGUUAUAAAAUAUAAUUGAAAAAAAAUUAAAUCGCGUCAAUCGAAAACAUUCAUGUUAGGGGUCUAUUUCAAAAUUGGCUAUAGCUAUCGAUUGUCCCUAACGCAAGUGGCUACGGAUUUAGUGGUUGGCAUCCGAGAUUCUAAGUUCAAAACCUAGUUGAUUCAUAUUUUUAGCUAAAUUUAUUUCUAAAUGAAAUAAACAAAGCGAGUAGUAUAUUACUUAUCUCUCAAAAAAAAAAAAAAAAAGUCUAUAGCUGUAGGUCUUGCUAAUUUUUUUCCCCACUAUUGGUAAUAAAUGUGCGAAAUUUGUUGGUGCACAUAGAUUGGCAUCAGAAGAAAGAAAAUAGAAGAUCAUAGGAUCACUUAUGUGGCAGAUGAAUUUUUCAAGUGUGUAUGUGUUUAUAUUAUACAUAUAUAUAUGGGACAUGACUUUUAAAAUUUCAAGCAUGCAGUAUCCAAUAUUUGAGUAGCCCAGAAUCUUGUAAAAUUAUAUUCAGGACCACUGAUUGGUUACCUAUCCACCACAUUGCUUUAAUCCAAAGAGAGAAUCCUUUUGCUCUUUACAAAAGCUAGUUUACUUAUUAUACAUCCCCCAGGGUCUUCACUCACCAUUUCUCACUUCCUAAGUUCUUUCAAACUCUCCAACCAUAAAAACUCUCUCUCUCUCUCUCUCUCUCAUCAACACUAUGGCUCAAAUGAUCCAUGGCUUCAUCACCCUUUUUGCCUUAUCCCUUCUAGUAGUAGCCCUCACAAUGAGCCCUACCUUUGCUGAACAACCCGGCAAAAGCGAAGGCGAAGGCGAGGGCGAGGGCGAGGGCCUCACUCUUGAGCUCAUUCACAGAUACUCCAUUCGCUCCCCGUUGUACUCUCCCAACCUCACAACGGUCGAAAUGAUCAAACAGCUCGUCGAGAUUUCCGACCGCCGAUACUUUGAGAUCGCAAUGUCGCUGGCCCACGGGUCUCGCCUGAUGGGGGUGCGGCCGAUCGUGGCACACGAUAAGUGGCUGUACAUGGUGAAGCUCGGCAUUGGGAAUCCGCCGACCUUCACGCGCUUGCACCUUGACACGGGAAGCAACAUAAUGUGGACACAGUGCGCACCAUGUCGGAGUUACUUCCCGCAGCUCCCGCCAUUGUACUGGCCGGCCAAGUCGAGAACGUACCGCACACUACCCUGCGACCACCGCCUUUGUGCCGGGUACCCGUGCAUCAACAACAAGUGCCACUACGAGAUGAAGUACGCUGCCCUACUAAGAUUCUCCUUGAUCUCUCCGUAAACUUAUAUCUGAGCGGUUAUUUACUGUGUGGUAAUGUUUGUUUGGUUUGGUUUGGUUUUCGAAGCUGCUCUUCUGUUCCAAAAGCUGAAGCAUUAGACGAACAAAGAGACCACGGUGAUAAGAAGUCAAAAUUAUUUUUCUAGUCUUUGAAAACAAUACCAGUUAUCCGGCGCAAAAAAGCUCAUUUUAUGUUGUUGACAUAGAAGAACAAUUGCUUCUCAAAAUGAGAAAAACUUGUACAAUAAGAUAGGCCGAAUGGGCACCCACUACUGGUCUAGUCUAUUUUUUCAAAUUAAAGUUUCUACUUUUGACUUUAAUAUAAAGUUAUUUAGUAAGCUAUUUGUGAAGAAAUGAUAGAUAAGAGUGUGCGUCAUCUGAUUCGUUCUUGUCAGGUUCUUUGACGGCACCUACACCAAAGGGAUUAUAGCGGCCGAGCGUUUCACGUUCGCGUCCAACCUCGGCGGCCGCUCCGAGGCUGUCGACGGCGUGGGCUUCGGUUGCUCCAAAGAGAGCAGCUCAGACAUGUACCCUAGAACCCAGGCAGUCAGCGGGAUUCUCGGCUUGGGUUCCGACGUACGGUCCUUCCUGAUGCAGCUCGGAGACCGAGCGAAGGGCCGCUUCUCGUAUUGCUUGGUCCCCCUAGAACACACCGGCCAGAGCUAUCUUCGAUUCGGUACUGACGUCGAGCGAAUAAAACAUGCGCAAACCACGCCCAUCCUACCGAAGCACGAGCUCGAAGUGUAUUCUCUUGAGCUGAAGGAUCUCAGCGUCGACGGUCGUUUGCUUCGUUUGCCGCCAGAUACUUUCAAGGUAAACCGCAAUGGCACCGGCGGUUGCAUCAUAGACUCGGGUUUAUCGGUCACUUUCAUGAUCGGAGAGGCGUUCGAUGCUUUGGUUCAUUCUUUGGAGGAGUAUUUUCAAAACUAUGAUCUUCGAAAGAUCGAGGAUCCGAGGGACACGGGCUUGGAACUGUGCUACAAGAAGCCGAGGGGCUUCUCGUCUUACCCGACGGUCGGGUUUCACCUCCGAGGGGCCGUUUUUCGGCCGAAGGCCAAGAGUGUCUUCUUGAUCGACGAGGCGCUGGGCACGUUCUGCUUGUUUGUGAGGAAAGGGGAGUUUACGCUCCUCGCGGCCGUUCUGCAGCAGAACUUUCGGAUGGUGUUCGAUGUUCGAAAGCGCAAGCUAACUUUCGCCGAAGAGAAUUGUGCGCGAGAUUGAGAGAGUGAACGGUUGCAAAACUUUAUAAUGAGCUCUAAUAAAAGGUAAAUGAUGUUUCAUUCUAAUGUGAAGUUUGGAAUGAAAACAUGUUCAUUCAACAUCACAUUAACUAAGAAGCUUUUUAGACGCGGAAAUUAGGCUUGAACAUCCUUAAUGAGCCCCACAAGUGAAAAAGAACAUCUUCAAUUAUUAUCUGAUCCAUUAAUAGAGACUUAUUUAAAGUGAAAUCUAUAGUUUAAAUGGAGCUUUUACAAAGUAGUUUGUUAAUGCACCUCUCUCUCUAGAUAUAUAUAUACGAGAAUUGUGGUACUAAUUGCUUUUAAAAUUCUUACACCGCGUAAAUUAUUGCAAAUAUCUUGUUUAAAAUCCAAAAGUAUCCUAUAAGAAUGCUUAUUGAGUGUCCUUUACAUUAGUUUCCACCCUAAACUAUUUCCAAUAGCCUAUCACCUAGCACUGCUCCAAUGAGUGAUCUUAAUUGUGUUUUAUAUGAUCUUUUAAGGAGCCAAAAUUAAAUUUUUUGUUUUAAAUUAUAUAAGAAAAUUUUUAUAUCGAAUAAAUUAUUCUUGAAUAAGUUAUUUUAACAUCCAAACAGGAUGAUAUGGUUAGGCAUCAAUUUCAUUUGAUUUCUCAGAAGCAAGCAACAAAGUAAAGGGCCUCUUUUCCUCGGCUUUCAUUUAAUUUGAUUUCAGUUAUUUUAGCCAGCUAAAUUAGAAAAUUUCUUCAAAUUAACCAUUUUAUCAGCUCACUGAUAGUUAAUUCUAAAUUUGGAUUUUAAAUUGAAAAUUUUAGAUAAUUUUUGAUGGCAUGAGUUUUUUAAAUUAAUUUAUUUAUAAAUUUGAUUGGUUUCUAAGUAUAUUACCUUUUAUAUGUGUUUCACAAUAUACAAUUUUUGUUUUUUUGUGCACACCCAAAAUUUAAAAUUUUGUCUUGAUUCAUAUGUAGAUCCCUGAAUCAAACUCACAAUUUAAAUUUAAUUUUGAAUUUAUUAUUAAAUUUAAAUAAUUGUUGAUAUGGUGAGCCUACUAUUAAACCACCCUAUUUGCACCCGGUGCACGCGGUACGCUCACCGCUGUGUAAUCGUGACCUCGAAUUUUUUUCCCCACCAAUCCACAACAAAAUUUAUUUUGGGGCGAAUCGGCCCAUGUUGUCAAGGCGGUGAGCUCACCGGGAGUGACCAGAUCCACACUAGCCCGGUCCGGCUCGGCUCGGCCGGCCCGGCCCGGACCGGAACGGCUAAAAGUUCGGGCCGAGCCCGUGCUGGCCUAGUGUGUUUUUUUAGGUUUUAAAUAUUUUUUUUCCUUUAAAAAACUAAAAAAAGAUUAUAAGCAGAUUUUUUUAACUAUAAAAAAAAAGGCUAUUAUGGUUUAAAAUAAUUAAAAAUUAAAUAAAAGGUUAGAAAAGUUAUAAAUAUUUCAAAAAUUAUUUAGAAGGAAUAUAAAAAAAUUAAAUUGAAAAUUUAUCUGAUUAAAAUUAAAAAAAAAUUUAAAAAUAUUUGGAUAGUUUUAAAAUAAAAACUAUAUAUAUAUAGAGUAGGGCUACUAUACUCUUAUGAGCAUUGGGCCCUUCAUACUCAUAAGUUGUUUUCGAUGAUGGGGCUCUCGAAUCGACAAUCCAUUACGUUAAAUAUGAUCUAGAGUAUUUGAAACUUCUAAAAAAUAAAUUUCGUAAUUUUUGGAAAUCAUAAUAAAGUCCAUCAAACGGGCAUAAAAUGAACGGUCAAAAUCGAACGACGUCCUAAAAAUAGAUGAUCGGAUGCUUCAAUUUAAGAUCGGAGUUAUUGAUCAUUAUCUAGAUAGUGAAUAGAAUUUUCUAUCAAAAAUUCAACCUAUUCCAAUUCUUUUAUAUGGUUAAACUAGCAAGUAUUCUAUACCGGCCGUUAAAAAUUGUCAAUUUUGUGAGCUUUUGAUCGUAAGGUAAAUGAUAUCGAAAAAUUAUGAAAUUUGAUUUCUAGAAGUUUUAAAUGCUCUAGAUAAUGUUUAACUGUAUGGAUCGUCGAUUCGGAAGCUCUAUCAUCGAAAACAACUUAUGAGUACGAGAGCGAUCUUACUCAUAAGAGUAUAGUAGCCGGACUCUCUCUCUCUCUCUCUCUCUCUAUAUAUAUAUAUAUAUAUAUAUAUGGUUAAAUGCAUUCAUGCACUUGCAAAUAUAGUGAAUUGCAAAUAUAUCUCUAUAAAGUUCAACUUUCAUAUGUUGUGUCUAUAAAAAUUUCUAAUAUUUUCAAAUAUAUCCAUCUGAUUUGUUACCGUUAUUUAUGUUUUAAGUGAAAUAUCAAUUUUACCAUCACAAAUAUAUUCCUCCAAAAAUUACAAUAGUAUAAUAUAAGAGAGUCAAAAAUGUCAAGUUAUUUCAUAAAUUAACUAGAGUUAAGCAUUUAAUCUAUGAUUAAUUAGAGUUUUCUAACGAAUUCUAAUGGUAGGGAUAUAUUUGAAAAUAUUAGGAUUUUUGUAGGGACAAUAUAUAAAAAUUAAAUUUUGUAAUGAUAUAUUUGUAAUUUACUAGCUUGCAGGGACAUGUUUAUAUUUAUUAGCAUUGAGUUCUAUAUGUUAAUUAAUAUUUAUUUAGUUGCUAAUACAUUUUUAAAAAUUUAGCAAAUAUAAAUAAAUAUGUAUAGGUCGGAGUUAAUAAUCUUUUACCUAGAUAAUAAAUAUAAUUUUCUACUACAAAUUUAAUUAAUUAUGAUUCUUUUACACCGUUAAACUAGCAAUAAGGCUGGUUAAACUAACAAGUAUUCAAUAUCAAAAAAUUAUAACUAAUCGUCCCUAAUGCAAGUGCCAAAAGGCUUGAUAAUUAGUACCCGAGGUCCUUAGUUCUAAACGAAAUGGGUAACAUGUUACCCAUCUCUCAAAAAAAAAUCAAAAAAUUAUAAAAUUUAAAUUUUUCAAAUUUUAAAUAUUCUAAAUCAUGUUUAACAAUAUCUACCGUUAUUCAAAAGUUCUAUCGGGAAAAAUAAUUUAUGAAUACAAUGAGGAUCCUAUUCAUCAAAGUAUAUAUGCACAAACCUCUGAUUGGUUAGCUAUCCUCAAAUAGAUUUCCUUUGGACCUAGUUUACACACACCCUCAUUGGUUAGCUAUCCUCAAAUAGAUUCCUUUUUUCCUCUUAAAAGGAGGAAUUCUACACUGUCGUACUUGCACCACAUCGUCAAUAACAAAUCAAUCACAUUUCUUUUUUUCAAACAAAAGUACAAUAAAAAUAUUUUUUUACAAUCAUGAUGAGACAUAUACCCCUAAAAGAAGACAUUUGAUUGGUUUGUUACGCUACGUCACUAAUAUACCCAUUGCAUUCUAAAAUUUUUCCUUAAAAGGACCUAUAUAUAUAUAUAUAUAUAUAUAUAUAUAUAUAUAUAUAUAUAUAUAUGAUUGAUUUAUUAUUGAUGUUCUGGUAGAACUGUAACAUAAUAGACUCAUCAAGAUACAACUAGCUCCACAUUAUCACCUCUCAAGAUCAAGUACAUGCAUAUUACACUAUGCUCAGUCUGAGAAAAGAGGGAAAUGGGCCAGAUUCAUAAAAUAAGCAAAGCCAAAUCAACAAACUAGAGGCCAAAAUGCGGAGGAAAACAAAAAGGCCACCUAGGUACUUUUACUAAACAAGAAGUUUAGUUCAACGUAACACUGGGAAAAAAUAUAUAUAUAUUCGGUGAAAAAAAAUUUUCGUGGAACAAAAAUUUUACAUUGGUUCGUAGAAAAGAAAAAAUAGUUUUCCAACAAUGUUUGUUUGGUUGAAAGGAAAACAUGUAGAAAAAACCAUUUAUAUAAUAUAUGUUUCCUAUAUAGCGUAGAAAUAGUAUUAUACAUUUUAUUUUAUACACAUACUAUACACAUUACUAUUACACUGUUGGUGGGAGAUCCACAAGAAAAAAAAAAUUAUUUGUGCACCUCUCGCACACCCAUGAACUCACACAACCAGCUUCAAAAGACCACCAAUUUAUUUCGUACUCCCAAUUUAACUACCCAAAUUUUAAAUUUUAAACAACUGCUGUAUACAAAAUGGAAUAGACAUAUAUUUAUAAAAAAAUGUUAGAUGAAAAUAGUGUACAUAUAUGAAUACACCAAGUAUACAAUAAUCUCUAGUAUUUGUAGGUGCACUUGGUUCAGACAUUUGGUUUCUUAGUGGGUGGACCGCAUGAUCUUUUAAUUGCCGUGCACAUAUACACACCGGUGUUUUUAUUUAUUUAUUUAUUUAUUUUUUGCAGCAAGAGCUUUUCGUUUUCCACAAUACCGCCAAAACGUUUUCCACAAUUCCACGAAGUUUUGGCGGAAAACAAAAAGGCCCAGUUAUAAUAAUAUGUAAAAAAGUUUUACAAGGAAAACAAUUUUACAGCUCAACAAACGAACGAAAACAAAUUUUCAGACUGAAAGGAGUUUUCUGACCAUUUUUACGAGUAAUCAAACACACCCUAAACGAAAAUACAGGGGGUAUAAACUGAGAAUCACCUCAUAUUUGCCACACUAGAUUCAAACACCUCAGCAAUCACCAUGUUCAAGUGCUUGACCAAAGGCAACAAUAACCACAGCAGUUGCCUGCACAGCAACAAGCCAUCCAACUGUGGAUUAAAAUGUGUCGAUUUAGUACCCCGUGAUUUUAUUUCUCUUUUUAUUAUCCCCCUCUGCUAGAUUUUUCGUUAAAUCAAUAACAAAAUUAAAACUAAAAAGUACUUAAAUAAAUAUUCAAUAAACCUAGAUAGGAUAUCUAAAGCUUUUUAUAUAUAAUUUAACAAAAUAUUAACAGAGGAGCUGGCGAAAAAAAAUAAAAAUAAAAAUAAAACCACAAGAAACUAAAUUGAUACAUUUUAAAACACAAAAUACUAAGUGUAGAAGUGCGAAACUGCAGGAAUGAUAUUUGAAGUUUACCCUAUAUAAAAUCCAGCAUACUUUGCAUUACUGCUCGCAAUAUAAGCAACUCAACCAGCAGGUAGCUCACAGCUGACGAGCAUAGCAGCCGGCAUCACAAAAUUUUCAUGAGAAAGGGGGGAAAAAAUCUACUUUGUAACAAUCACACCAUAGAGGAUCGAUAACAAUCAAAUCAAAACUUCAAAAUCAAUCAAUUCACACCAAGAAAGAUAAAUAGAAGAAACAGAACAAUUGCAAUAUGUCUUCCAGUUGAUAGAAACACAAAUGGGGGACGAAAAAAGAUCGAUGGAGGCUCAGAUUUAACGCCGAAAGUAAAAUAAAUCAUAUACGCCAGUCUACCAAUGGUGAAGUCGCUGCAGGGGUUGCCUGCACGGUGGAAGGCCAUCCAACUGCCCAGCGAACAUCGCCAAAGAAACAAGCAUAUCAUUGGGUUGUAAACAAAUGUGGUGCACCGGAUGCAAGAAAUAUAUAUAUAUACACACAUAUUCAAAGAAAAAGAAAAAAAAAAAAAAGAUGAAGAGAGAUAAUGCAUUGCAUGUAGCAAUUCCAAAAACUACAGAUGUUUAGUAGCAUUUAUCGACUCUGUGAUGUGGCGUUUAUCAUCAUUGCCUCCAGAAAGGAAAAGAACAAAAAAAAUUGACGAAACCAUGCCAUUUGGAAGACCCCCUGCUAAAAAGAGUUAGGCAUUAAAGAAAGAGAAACAUAUUCCUACAAAAUCAUACCACUGCAAAAUCUGUAAAUUCACAUAUACUUACUUUGCCCCAGGUGACGAAAAAAGUGCAAUUAGAUAUAUGAAACAGUAACUUCUAAUUCACCAAAUUGAAAAUAUGCCAUACCAGGGAGGAAAAUUGAAGUUUAUUCAAAUAAAAAAAUCAAUAAAUCAAAAGAAAACAAAUACAAACCAAUAAACAAAUAGAAUUGAGGAAAAAACAUAAAGAUAAAGCCACGCUUCAAAUUAGUACCUUGAUUUCCUUGGAAAAGGGAGAGCAAAGAAGAACAGAGGAAGGGUUUAGGGUUUAGUGUUUACUUUUUAGCUCUCGGAUGCCUAGUGUUUAGCAGUGGUAGGUGGAAUCAUAUUGACCCAAGGGCUGAAAAGUUAAUAGCAAACAGCCUUCACUUACUAUCAACACUAUUUCAGAUAAACAACACACACACACACACACACACACACAGAGUCCGGCUACAAUACUAUCAAUAGCACCAAGCACUUGGUGCUAUCAGGUUUUCCGCUAUUAGAUCUACCUCUUUAACCAUUUCCACCCUUUAGAUCAUACUAUUCCACCAACCACUCAAUAAACCCAAGGAUCACAAUCAUGCUAACCGCACAUUCGCACAUCCCUUUAUCCAAGGGGCCGAAAACCUAAUAGCACCAAUGACUUGGUGCUAUUAAUAGUAUUCUAGCCUAGUUCUAUAUAUAUAUAUAUAUAUACAUAGAGAGAGAGAGAGAGAGAGUUACAAUAUUAUUGAUAAUAGCAAGUUGUUGCUACUAUCAAUUUUGUGGCCCUUGUAUCUAUGCAUAAUGUUGAGAGAGAGAGAGAGAGAGAGAGAGAGAGAGAGAGCGAGACAACAGUCUAACACCACGCCCAAGGGUAGAGAAAACAAGUCAUGGGCUGGCAAACAGCAAUUGAAGGACUUCUGGAGCAUGUCACAAAGAUGUCGUGCGUCAUUGCCAUCAUCUUGCACAAAAUACCAGUCCAGGUAAUAUGAGAGAGAGAGAGAGAGAGAGAGAGAGAGAGUGAUCAUCCGACAAGAGUAACAGAUAUGGCAGUCUCCUCCAUCUCAGGCCAACAACAAGGCAUCAUUUGUCUCAAGAAUAAGGCGAGUAAGGUAAAAAUGCAUGGAGACCCUCCAAACUGACGCUGCGAUUUCCCUGCACCACAGCCCCACGUGUGGAUAAAUCCUGGGAAGAGCUUCUCUUGCUGAGAAAAAUCCCGUAGGCUCUUACGCUGUAUCAUUAUUAUUAUUAUUAUUAUUGAAAGAAACUUUUGCUCAGUUUCGGUUGUAAAGAAUCAGUGAAAUUAAGGGGGAAAAAUAGAGACCUAAUUUUGAAGUUCAACAAUAUAAAAUGAUCAUCAAAGAAUUCACAAGAAACAAAUACAAAUUAAUAAACUGGUAAUAUCAAGAACAAAAGUUAAAGAAUAAGAAAAGCUUCAAAUAAUAACUUCAUUGUCUCAGCAAAAGGAGAGGAAAGAAGAACUGAAGUACAAGUCAAAAACCAAUUUGUGUUACAAAGCCAAUAUCAACAUACUAAGAAAAUAAAUGCAAUGAACCAAACCAAAACCCCAAAAUAAAAUAGAAAAAAGAAAAGCAAACAAGCAAGAUGUUUUUAUAUGGUGAAAGCAUACAGACCUUCAAUAAACUAUUGAUCAUUUUGAGUUGACUGUCCAAUCUUUUAAAUUUUGAUUUUGCUACCCAACAUUUCAAUUUGUUUAAUUCGAGUCAAUCAACAGCACUUCAACUUUAAAAUUUGAAUGCGUCUUUUAUUUUUGCAGGUUUAGCUAGCAUACUUCAUGCAAUUCUCGCGACUAUACAUUCAUUAAAGUAAUUAGCUUAAAUUUUGAAGUCAAAAUAUAGUUGACUGACUCAAAUCAAACAUAUUGAAAGGCUAAAUAGCAAAAUCAAAAUUUUGAAAGAUUUUGAAAGAUUGGGUAGCCAAUUCAAAAUGGCGCAUAAUUUAGGCAAGUUCUAUACAUUUUAACCUUUUCAUAUAAGAGGGAUGAAAAGAUCAACCGAGGCUCAGACUUGGUGCAAAGAAACCCACAUAUAUUCCACCCUUAUAAAUACAAUGUAGCUGCAGCAAUGGCCUGCAAAACAGAAGGCCAUCCAGCUGCCCUGCCAACAUCAAUAAAGAAAGAAUUGACAAGUAAAUGGAUGACAUGGUACAUUAAGAGCAGGAAACAAUUUUCUGACAGAAGAAAAAGAUAAAGAGAGAGAGAGAGAGAGAGAGAGAGAGAGAGAGAGAGAGUCAUCACCAUUGAAGAGCAGAUGCAUAUUGAUAGCAUUCUAAUCCAGCCAGCAAACAUCUAGAGACAUGUUUAAUUGGAGUUAGCCCACUUAGGCCAGAAGAUGUGAUUUUCACGAGGCAAAAGGGACAAAAUAGUUAAAGAAUUAUACGUUAAAACAUACAGAGACCCCCUCAACUAUAGGAGAAAUUAUUGCAUGGAACGCAGUCAAUAGACCAGUAUUUCCGAAAGUCAAUACCCACAACAUUUGCAGCCGCGAGGAUGUGAUCACCUUCAUUGCCUCACGGAAAGCAAUAUACACAUACAUACAAAACAUAUACACAAAUGGCAGAAUUGCCUCUGCAAACUUGAAAAAUUACAGAGUUUUAUCUUUGACCUCGUUUUCUCAGAUACCCCUGCUUUGAGGGUUUAUUGAAAAGAAUUUGGAUUGUUAGAAGGGUACAUUUCAGCAUACAUGUUUUUGAGGGCUAUAUAUGAAAGUAGGAAUGUGCUCAGAAGUAUAUAGGCAAUUGUCCCUAAACAAAUAUACACAUAUAGGUAUAAAUAUAGAUAAAUGUAGAGAGAGAGAGAGAGAGAGAGAGAGAGAGAAGAACAAGAACAAGAACAAGAACAAGAACAGAGGGCAUUAAGCCGACGGUUAAUUCUUUUCGUCGGCCUCAAUUAUCUCCCUUCGAGCCGAAGGGCUGUCUCGCAUCUACUAAGGCGGAGCAUUAUUUAGAGUACCUCAGAAAGUCACCAGAAACUCGGCUAACAAGUCAAACAAUCAUAUUAUCAGUGCCACAUAUAUAUAACUCUAUUGGAAUAAAGUUGCACUGCACAAUGUGUACAGAACUCUUCAUUUGAGAGAGAGUACUGCUACAGGUCACAAAGAGAGUUGCCCUUACAGGCAGUUGUUUUUUGGCCUAUAAUAUGUGGACAUGUAAGAGGUCCAUCGAAUAAGUACCGAACCAUUUCCGAAGUUCAUAAAUAAGUACCAAAGUGUCACGCGUCUCAUAGUUUGAGGACCAAAAGUGUAAUUUACCCUUCAUUAAACUAUUCAAUGUGAAAAGGGGGAAUCAAAUGGAAAAAUGGAAAACGAAAAAAAAAAAAAAUCAGAGGAAAAACACAACCGAAUAAUAGAGCAAAAUAGAAGAGAAAUGUUUUCAACUCCACAAGAAAAUUGUAGCACAGGAAGACAAGAAAAGGAGGGGCAGAAGUUCCUCGUCUCCCUUAUCACAACUAAAACCUGUGCUGCCAAAGUUGUUAAAGAAGUAACAGAGGAAAGAAAGGUAUCUCUAUAGCCUCAAUCAUAUUAACUUGGUUUUUCCAUAUAGUAUGUCUGAUUGUGCAAUCCACACAAUCAUCAUCAUGUGCGCUGCUUAGGCAUAUACGAAGGUUGUAUGUCAUAGUCUUCAUGACCAUUCCCUAAGGCUAAGUAGUUUGGGCACGAGUAAGAGGCACAUUAUUAAAUACUAGAGAAAGAGAGGAGAGGAAAAGAGAGACUCAAUUGAAACUCGGGAAACAGUUUAAGGACCUCAAUACACCAAUUAGAAGAUUAGGGACUCACUUGAAACUUCGUUGAAACUUCGGUAAAAGGUUAGGAAAGUCCUAUGAGAUUUACCCCUCAGAAAAUUACGAAAAGCUAUCUUGAGAUUGUUUGAGAGAGAGAGAGAGAGAGCCAGCCCGGAAGAACAGCAGCUCCUACCAAAACCAAAAUGAAACUUGACUCGAAGUUUGAGAACUAACAAUGCAAUUUCCCUCCUAGACAGUAGCUGCAGCUGUUGCCUGCAUAGCAGCAGGCCAUCCAGUUGCCCCGCCUACUCCUGUCUAAGAUAUUAAGAACAACAGGUAUAUAUGAGUCCAGGUAAUAACUGAGAGAGAGAGAGAGAGAGAGAGAGAGAGAGAGAGAGAGAGAAACUGAAAGAGCAGCUGCUUACUUACCAGGACCAAAAUGAAACUUCGGCCAAAAGUUCAAGGACCAACAGUGCAAUUUAUGCCUUAAGAAAGAGAGUAUAGACUUCAAUGUUUUCUUUUAAAAACAAAAAAUUAAUAGAAAAAAGGGUGGGAGGAGAAGAAAAUGGACGCUUGUUUGCCAAAAUAAACCCCCAUGGCUGUCUUUAUCAGCAGAAAUAUAACCAAGACCACCUCUUAGCAAGUAGUUGCAGGUGUUGCCUGCACAGCACCAGGCCAUCCACAAGCCCUGUUAACACGGUUGAUGUAGUGCACCAGGUGGAAGCAACAAAUUUCUUGUAAAGAGUAUUCUCUGUCACAGUUAUUCCAAAUAGAAUUGGUAUUCGACAGCUAAUCCGUUUGACAUGAUGCCAGGUAACCAUUUCUCCCUGAGAGAAAGACCAGGCGAAUAAAUAGAGGGAGAGGGUCAUCGGCCCAGAAGAGCAACAGCUAGUUUGAGGACCAAAAUGAAACUUGACUAAAAGUUCAAGAACUCGUAAUGUUGAUAGAAAAACAAUGGAGGUGCAAAAGAUUAACGGAGGCUCAGAUUUAACACCAAAGGAAAAAUUAAUCAUAUACACCAGUCUAACACUGGAGAUGUAGCUGCAGCCAUUGCCUGCACGGUUGAAGGCCAUCCAGCUGCCCAGCCAACAUCACCAAAGAAACAAGCAUUUCAUUGGGUCGUAAACAAAUGUGGUGAGCCGGGUGCAAGAAAUAGAUGUAUAUAUAUAUAUAUAUAUGAAUGUGUGUGUGUGUACAUGCACACAUAUGGAAAGAAAAAGAAAGAAAGAAAGAAAGAGAAUGGCAUUGCAUGAGAAUAGCAUAUCUUCUCACAAAAUUGCAGUGAUGCGGUGUUUAUCAUCAUCGCCUCCAAGAAGGAAAAGAAAGAAAAAAAAUUUGUAAGAAAGCAUAUUUUGUAUAUAAUGUAACAAAAUGUUAACGGGGGAGCUGGCAAAAAGAGAAAAAUGGAACCACAAGAUACUAAAUUAAUACACUUUAAACCACAUAGUACCAAAGUGAGAAAGUGUGAAACCACAGGGAUGGUAUUUGAAGUUUACCCAAAUGAGUAACACAUGACAGAAAGAGAAUUUAUAUAGAUGUAUAUAUUUAUAGUGGGGCUAAAAUACUAUUGAUAGUAGCAAAGUGGUGGCUGCGACCAACUUUUGACCCUUGGAUCAAUAGGGUCUAGGGUCCAGAGUUUAGGGUUUAGUGGUUGCUACUAUUGAUAGUAGCUCAACUUUAAACCACAUAGUACCAAAGUGAGAAAGUGCGAAACCACAGGGAUGGUAUUUGAAGUUUACCCAAAAGAGUAACACAUAACAGAAAGAAAAUUUGUAUAGAUGUAUAUAUUUAUAGUGGGGCGAAAAUACUAUUGAUAGUAGCAAAGUGGUGGCAGCGACCAACUUUUUGACCCUUGGAUCAAUAGGGUCUAGGGUCCAGAGUUUAGGGUUCAGUGGUUGCUACUAUUGAUAGUAGCUCAACUAUACAUGCACAUAUAUAUAUAUAUAUAUAUAUAUAUAUAGUCGAUCUUGGCUGCUUUCAAAAGUGGAGCAUGCACUAUUCAUGUGCUUCAACUCUAGCCCCAAUAAUAUAUAUAUAUAUAUAUAUAUAUAUAUAUAUAUAUAUAUAUAGUAGGCUACUAUACUAUUAAUAGCACCAACUCAUUGGUGCUAUUAGGUUUUCGGCCCUUGAAUGAAGGGAUGUGCAGUUAGGAUGACAAUGUCCCCUAGGGUUGAGAGGGUGGUUGGUUGAAUAGUAUGAUCUAACAGAUGGGGUAGAUCUAACGGCCAAAAACUUAGUAGCACCAAGCGCUUGGUGCUAUUGAUAGCAUAGUAGCCGGACUCUCUCUCUCUCUCUCUCUCUCUCUCUCUCUCUCUCUCUCUCUACAUAUAUAUAUAGCAAAAUCAAAUCUAUACAUAUGUACCACUGAAAAAUAUUUAACUUCACAUAUACAUUUAGUGCCCUGGGUCCACAAAACGUGAAAUUAGAAAUAUGAAUCAGUAACUUCCCUUUCACCAAUUUAUUUAUUUAUCUACUUAUUUUUUGAGUUACGCAAUCAGAUACAAAUAUAUAAUAAAUAGAAGAGCGAUGCUACCUCUAGAACCACCUUUUGGUUGUAAUAAAACCCUUCGAUCACACUGAGAGACACUUCCGAAAAUGAAGAUGAAUGUUCGCAUAUAUAUAUAUAUAUAUAUAUAUAUAUAUAUAUAUAUAUAUAUAUAUAUAUAUAUAUAUCCCUGCAGAGUGCGGAACUGCACAAAUACCCUUGCAGACUUCUCGUAACAAGCUGCUAAAUACAGCAGUCGCUCAGGUUUGGAUCAAGGGAAUUGGAAAGAAAACAAGAAGAGAAGAACCGCUUAAAGUAACCAAAAAAAAAUCAAAGCAAAAGGAAACAAAUACAAACCAACAAUCAAAUAGAAGUGAGAAAAAAAAAAAGAAGAUAAAGCUAAGCUUCAAAGAAGUACCUUGGUUUCAUUGGAAAAGGGAAAGCAAAGAAGAACAAAAGGGAGGGUCAGAUUCGCAGCAAUAUCGCUCUAACAGCGACGAAAGACAAGCCUUACACUGCAGAAAACAAGGGCAGUAUUUUGGCAACAAGUAGCAAUACUCUUUUGGCAAAACACCUUCCCAGCUGCACACUUAUGGCAUGCGUCACAGUCUGACAGGUUUGGUCUACAGACGAUACGGUGUAUCAAGUUCAAGAAUAGAGAAGACAUGUAAUGGGACAGGCAAACAGCAACUGAAGGACUUUCCGCAGAAAGUCACAAUCAUGUGGAAUUCAUUGCCAUCACCUUGCACAAAAUACCAGUCCAGGCAGUAUGAGAGGGAGAGAGAGAGAUAUUAUUUGCAGGGAGCUGUAUGAAAUUAACCCAUAUAUAUAUAUAUAUAUAUAUAUAGAGAGAGAGAGAGAGAGAGAGAGAGAGAGAGAGAGAGAGAGAGAGAGAGAGUCAUCAGCCUAAAAGAGUAGCAGAAAUGCCGGUCUACUUCCUCUCUGGCCAAAAACCAGGUAGAAUUUGUUCUAGAAUAAGGCAAUUUAGGUAAAAAUGCAUGGAGACCCCCUUUACCGGGGCUGCAAUUCACCUAUCCUCAAGCCCCAGGGGUGGAGAAAUUCUGAAAAAGCCCCUCAACUAUGGCCAUGUCGCAAAGUCUUUUUUUUCAACUUGCCAAAAAUGGCCAAAAGGGUAACAGCAGCAACAAUAACGAUACGGACAUGUUCCCUGCCUUUAGUUUUUGAAAAAACUUCUGCUCUCUUCUGCAUGUAAAGAAUCCAUAAAAUUACAAAGGUAAGUAAAAAUAGAAAAUUCUAUUUCUAAAGUUUAAGAAAGGCCAAUUUGCAUAAAAAAUCCACCAGUUUUGAGAUUUUGCAAGUUCGGUCCCUCUUUUGAGAGAGAGAGAGAGAGAGAGUCAUCAGCCUACACGAGUUGCAGAAAUUGCAAACUACUUCCUCUCUGGCCAACAACCAGGCAACAUUUGGUUAGAGGACAAAGCAAUUCAGGCGAAAAUGUACAGAGAGCCGCUAAAGUGGCAAUGCAAUUUCCCUGCCCUGCAGCCCCAGGCAUGGAGGAAUCCUGGGAAAAAGCCCCUCAACUAAAGUCAUGUUAAAAGAAGACCUUUGUUUUUCUUUUCCUGCAGAAAAUGGCCAAAGGGAACACAUUUGCUCUCUUUUUUUCUCUUUUGUCCUCUUCUUCUUCUUCUUUCUAAGAGAAAUCCAGUAGGCACCUUGAAUUUUUUUUUUUUUUUUUUUUGCGGAUUAACUUUUGCUCAGUUUCAGUGGUAAAGAACCAGUGAAUGCAACAAGAGAGAGCAAAAAGUGCAAAAGAUUGACGGAGGCUCAGAUUUAACACCAAAGGAAAAAUUAAUCAUAUACACCAGUCUAACACUGGAGAUGUAGCUGCAGCCAUUGCCUGCAAGUUGAAGGCCAUCCAGCUGCCCAGCCAACAUCGCCAAAGAAUCAAGCAUUUCAUUGGGUAGUAAACAAAUGUGGUGAACCAGGUCCAAGAAAUAGAUGUGUAUAUAUAUAUAUAUAUAUAUGAACGUGUGUGCGUACAUGCACACAUAUGGAAAGAGAAAAAUAAUGGCAUUGCAUGAGAAUAGCACAUCUUCUCACAAAAUUGCAGUGAUGCGGUGUUUAUCAUCAUCGCCUCCAAGAAGGAAAAGAAGGGAAAAAAUAUUUUGAAGAAAGCAUAUUUUGUAUAUAAUUUAACGAAAUGUUAACGGAGGAGCAGGCGAAAAGAGAAAAAUGAAACCACAGGAUACUAACUUAAUACACUUUAAUCCACAGGGUUACUAAAGUGAGAAAGUGCGAAACCAUAGGGGUGGUAUUUGAAGUUUACCCAAAAGAGUAACACAUAAGAGAAAGAGAAUUCAUAUAGAUGUAUAAAUUUAUUGUGGGGCUAAAAUACUAUUGAUAGUAGCAAAGUGGCGGCCGCGACCAAGUUUUUGACCCAUGGAUCAAUAGGGUCUAGGGUCCAGAGUUUAG
Molecule: long non-coding RNA, 29490 nt
Filed under: Ananas comosus (pineapple)
Lineage: Eukaryota; Viridiplantae; Streptophyta; Magnoliopsida; Poales; Bromeliaceae
Description: long non-coding RNA (ACOM_LNC004695)
Source: RNAcentral